CCCAGGUCCUAUGGGACGCAGCAGGCGAGAAAACUUUGCAAUGUGCGAAAGCACGACAAGGUUAAUCCGAGUGUUUCNUGNUAAAGGAAUCUUUUGUUAGUCGUAGAACCACUAGCGAAUAAGGGGUGGGCAAGUUNUGGUGUCAGCCGCCGCGGUAAAACCAGCACCUCAAGUGGUCAGGAGGGUUAUUGGGCCUAAAGCAUCCGUAGCCUGUUUUGUAAGUCUUCGGUUAAAUCCACAUGCUUAACAUGUGGGCUGCCGGAGAUGCUGCAAAACUAGGGAGUGGGAGAGGUAGACGGUACUUGGUAGGAAGGGGUAAAAUCCUUUGAUCUAUUGAUGACCACCUGUGGCGAAGGCGGUCUACCAGAACACGUUCGACGGUGAGGGAUGAAAGCUGGGGGAGCAAACCGGAUUAGAUACCCGGGUAGUCCCAGCUGUAAACGAUGCAGACUCGGUGAUGCAUUGGUUUAUUGCCGGUGCAGUGCCGCAGGGAAGCCGUUAAGUCUGCCGCCUGGGAAGUACGUACGCAAGUAUGAAACUUAAAGGAAUUGGCGGGGGAGCACCACAAGGGGUGAAGCCUGCGGUUCAAUUGGAGUCAACGCCUGAAACCUUACCCGGAGAGACAGCAGAAUGAAGGUCAAGCUGAAGACUUUACCAGACAAGCUGAGAGGUGGUGCAUGGCCGUCGCCAGCUCGUGCCGUGAGAUGUCCUGUUAAGUCAGGUAACGAGCGAGAUCCCUACCAUUAGUUGCCACCAUUACUCUCAGGAGUAGUGGGGCGAAUUAAUGGGACCGCCGCAGUUAAUGCGGAGGAAGGAAGGGGCCACGGCAGGUCAGUAUGCCCCGAAACUCUGGGGCCACACGCGGGCUGCAAUGGUAGCGACAAUGGGUUCCAAAAUCGAAAGAUUGAGGCAAUCCCCAAACGCUACCACAGUUAUGAUUGAGGGCUGCAACUCGCCCUCAUGAAUAUGGAAUCCCUAGUAACUGCGUGUCAUUAUCGCGCGGUGAAUACGUCCCUGCUCCUUGCACACACCGCCCGUCGUUUCAUUGAAGUUUGCCCUUAACGAGGUAAUGUCUANUUGGCACUAUCG
RNAcentral lists this ribosomal RNA (1089 nucleotides) under uncultured marine group I thaumarchaeote. RNAcentral's name for it is "bacterial SSU rRNA". It matches the Rfam family "Archaeal small subunit ribosomal RNA", at positions 315 to 1405 of the family's 1478-position model. The record is from RNAcentral. Lineage: Archaea; Thermoproteati; Nitrososphaerota.